Molecule: long non-coding RNA, 534 nt
Organism: Alosa alosa (allis shad)
Lineage: Eukaryota; Metazoa; Chordata; Actinopteri; Clupeiformes; Clupeidae
Exons: 4
Source: RefSeq, a predicted model, not a curated record
ACAGCUGCCAUACUGGCUUUACAAACUAAGCCCAUGCAUUUCUAUGGAUGCUGUGUCUCCCCAUUAGAAAUUCUCUGGGCUACAAUACAAAAACCAAGUCAAAAGCUGGGCCAAAUAUCCAGUCAAGAAAAUCUGGUUGUGUACAGGUGACUGAUUGCUGCAAUACUAUCAAUAAUAGUUUUCUCUGUAUGGAAAUACUGCUUUGUUCUACUACUGGCUCACAAAAACUUUGUUCUCUUAACGUAGAUUCAUACACCAAAGCUAUGGAAAAAUGUCAGCGGCUGAUGGACACUUCUUGCAUUGAGGUGGAAGAAGAUGCGAGUGUCCACAAAAGGCAGUGCAGGGUCACGGGAUGAUGAAUCCGUUCCGCAAGCAAGAAAGCAUUCCAGGAUGGUGCGUGUGCCUGGAAGCCCUGUCUGUCAGCAGAUGUCACUGCCUCCACCACCUGCAUAUGAGUCAACACCACACAGGCAACCAGCUCAUUGCCCAGAGCUGGAUGGGUCUAUUAUAACGCCUGCCACUUCAUCUUGGGAC